Molecule: ribosomal RNA, 990 nt
Filed under: Russula megapseudocystidiata
Lineage: Eukaryota; Fungi; Basidiomycota; Agaricomycetes; Russulales; Russulaceae
Description: eukaryotic LSU rRNA
Rfam family: Eukaryotic large subunit ribosomal RNA
Source: RNAcentral
UUUUUUUCCCCGGGGAGAACUAGCAUUCAAUAAGCGGAGGAAAAGAAACUAACAAGGAUUCCCCUAGUAACUGCGAGUGAAGCGGGAAAAGCUCAAAUUUAAAAUCUGGUGGUCUUUGGCCAUCCGAGUUGUAAUUUAGAGAAGCGUCUUCCGCGCUGGACCGUGCACAAGUCUCCUGGAAUGGAGCAUCAUGGAGGGUGAGAAUCCCGUCUUUGGCACGGACACACCAGGGCUUUUGUGAUGCGCUCUCGAAGAGUCGAGUUGUUUGGGAAUGCAGCUCAAAAUGGGUGGUGAACUCCAUCUAAAGCUAAAUAUUGGCGAGAGACCGAUAGCGAACAAGUACCGUGAGGGAAAGAUGAAAAGCACUUUGGAAAGAGAGUGAAACAGUACGUGAAAUUGUUGAAAGGGAAACGCUUGAAGUCAGUCGCAUUGACCGAGACUCAGCCUUGCUCUUGGCUUGGUGUACUUCUCGGCCGAUGGGUCAGCAUCAAUCUUGCCUCUUGGAUAAUGGUGAGGGAAAUGUGACACCUUUACGGUGUGUUAUAGUCUCUUGUCGCAUGCAAGGGUCGGGAUUGAGGAACUCAGCACGCACCUUUUGGGUGUCGGGGUUUUUGCCCACGAUACGUGCUUAGGAUGUUGGCAUAAUGGCUUUAAACGACCCGUCUUGAAACACGGACCAAGGAGUCUAACAUGCCCGCAAGUGUUCGGGUGGAAAACCCGUGCGCGCAAUGAAAGUGAAAGUUGGGACCUCCGUCGUGGAGGGCACCGACGCCCGGACCAGACCUUCUGUGACGGCUCUGCGGUAGAGCGUGUAUGUUAGGACCCGAAAGAUGGUGAACUAUGCCUGAAUAGGGUGAAGCCAGAGGAAACUCUGGUGGAGGCUCGUAGCGAUUCUGACGUGCAAAUCGAUCGUCAAAUUUGGGUAUAGGGGCGAAAGACUAAUCGAACCAUCUAGUAGCUGGUUCCUGCCGAUGUUCCCCCCCCGAAAAA